Molecule: ribosomal RNA, 489 nt
Filed under: uncultured bacterium
Lineage: Bacteria
Description: partial 16S ribosomal RNA
Rfam family: Bacterial small subunit ribosomal RNA
Source: RNAcentral
AUUGAACGCUGGCGGCAGGCCUAACACAUGCAAGUCGAACGGUAACAGGAAACAGCUUGCUGUUUCGCUGACGAGUGGCGGACGGGUGAGUAAUGUCUGGGAAACUGCCUGAUGGAGGGGGAUAACUACUGGAAACGGUAGCUAAUACCGCAUAACGUCGCAAGAACAAAGAGGGGGACCUUCGGGCCUCUUGCCAUCGGAUGUGCCCAGAUGGGAUUAGCUAGUAGGUGGGGUAACGGCUCACCUAGGCGACGAUCCCUAGCUGGUCUGAGAGGAUGACCAGCCACACUGGAACUGAGACACGGUCCAGACUCCUACGGGAGGCAGCAGUGGGGAAUAUUGCACAAUGGGCGCAAGCCUGAUGCAGCCAUGCCGCGUGUAUGAAGAAGGCCUUCGGGUUGUAAAGUACUUUCAGCGGGGAGGAAGGGAGUAAAGUUAAUACCUGUGCUCAUUGACGUUACCCGCAGAAGAAGCACCGGCUACUCCGUG